AGCGAACGUUAGCGGCGGGCCUAACACAUGCAAGUCGAACGCGAAAGGUCUUCGGACUGAGUAGAGUGGCGCACGGGUGAGUAACACGUAGGUAAUCUACCCUUUGGCGGGGAUAACGUUCCGAAAGGAGCGCUAAUACCGCAUAAGACCACGGAGUCUCCGGACGCUGUGGGAAAAGGUGGCCUCUUCUUGAAAGCUACCACCGAAGGAUGAGCCUGCGUCCCAUCAGCUAGUUGGUAAGGUAAUGGCUUACCAAGGCGAAGACGGGUAGCUGGUUUGAGAGAAUGAUCAGCCACACUGGCACUGGAACACGGGCCAGACUCCUACGGGAGGCAGCAGUGAGGAAUAUUGGGCAAUGGGCGAAAGCCUGACCCAGCCACGCCGCGUGAGUGAUGAAGGCCCUCGGGUCGUAAAGCUCUGUGGAGAGGGACGAAAACCCUGGUUUCAAAUAGGCUCCAGGCUUGACGGUACCUCUUUAGCAAGCACCGGCUAACUCUGUGCCAGCAGCCG
Molecule: ribosomal RNA, 510 nt
Filed under: uncultured bacterium
Lineage: Bacteria
Description: bacterial SSU rRNA
Rfam family: Bacterial small subunit ribosomal RNA
Source: RNAcentral